GAUGAACGCUGGCGGCGUGCUUAAUACAUGCAAGUCGAGCGGAAAGGCGCUGCGUUUGUGGGGUGCUCGAUUGGCGAACGGGUGUGUAACACGUGAGUAACAUGCCCUUGAAUUUGGGGGAACAUCAGGAGACUGGGGCUAUGAUCGGAGAUGAGCUCCUGCUGCGUGGGGGGGGAUGGAGAGAUUCGGCGGUUGUGGAUGGACUUGCGGGUUAUCAGCUUGUUGGGGGGGUAGCGGCGUCCCAAGGUUUGGACGGGUAGCCGGCCUGAGAGGGUGACCGGGCACAUUGGCACUGAGAUACGGCCAAGACUCAUACGGGAGGCAGCAGUGGGAACUAUUGCACAAUAGGCGGCGGCAUGAUGCAGCAACGCCGCGUGCGGGAUGACGGCCUUCGGGUUGUAACCCGCUUUCGCCUGUGACGAAGCGUCAGUGACGGUAAUGAGUAAAGAAGCACCGCCUACCUACGU
RNAcentral lists this ribosomal RNA (467 nucleotides) under uncultured bacterium. RNAcentral's name for it is "partial 16S ribosomal RNA". It matches the Rfam family "Bacterial small subunit ribosomal RNA", at positions 28 to 506 of the family's 1533-position model. The record is from RNAcentral.